GGUUUAACCAACUGCUCCUGAUUUUCUUCAUAGCUCAGAUCAAUUAACUUUCCCAGAUAGUAUUUGAUCCUCUCAUCAUAUUCAGAAGUUUGCGAAGAUGUUCUAGGAUUAAUGGGUACCUUAUUAAGAAUAUUACAGAGUGAUUCUUUAAUACCUUCCUUCUCUUUUUCUCUUUCUGCUUUCUUCUCUUCGCAUCUAUUAUGCUUAUCAUGAAUCCUCUCCUCCUCUUCGUCCUCACUGCUUCCAAUAUCAAUUGUUUCCUCCUCUGGCUUCCUUUUUCUUCUUAUUAUAACAACU
This 297-nucleotide long non-coding RNA is filed under the name Vigna radiata. Its description in RNAcentral is "long non-coding RNA (VRAD_LNC001995)". Lineage: Eukaryota; Viridiplantae; Streptophyta; Magnoliopsida; Fabales; Fabaceae. The record is from RNAcentral.